GAUGAACGCUGGCGGCGUGCCUAAUACAUGCAAGUCGAGCGAACAGACGAGGAGCUUGCUCCUCUGGCGUUAGCGGCGGACGGGUGAGUAACACGUGGAUAACCUACCUAUAAGACUGGGAUGACUUCGGGAAACCGGAGCUAAUACCGGAUAAUAUAUUGAACCGCAUGGUUCAAUAGUGAAAGACGGUUUUGCUGUCACUUAUAGAUGGAUCCGCGCCGCAUUAGCUAGUUGGUAAGGUAACGGCUUACCAAGGCAACGAUGCGUAGCCGACCUGAGAGGGUGAUCGGCCACACUGGAACUGAGACACGGUCCAGACGCCUACGGGAGGCAGCAGUAGGGAAUCUUCCGCAAUGGGCGAAAGCUUGACGGAGCAACGCCGCGUGAGUGAUGAAGGUCUUCGGAUCGUAAAACUCUGUUAUUAGGGAAGAACAAAUGUGUAAGUAACUAUGCACGUCUUGACGGUACCUAAUCAGAAAGCCACGGCUAACUACGUG
Molecule: ribosomal RNA, 497 nt
Filed under: uncultured bacterium
Lineage: Bacteria
Description: partial 16S ribosomal RNA
Rfam family: Bacterial small subunit ribosomal RNA
Source: RNAcentral